GGGGUUGUAGCACAGUGGCUAGGGUGUCAAAUUCACGAGUUGAAGGUCGAGGGUUCGAUUCCCUAUUCCA
This is a non-coding RNA of Macrostomum lignano, 70 nucleotides long. The record is from Rfam. Lineage: Eukaryota; Metazoa; Platyhelminthes; Macrostomidae.